GACGAACGCUGGCGGCGUGCUUAACACAUGCAAGUCGAACGGAAAGGCCCUGCUUUUGCGGGGUGCUCGAGUGGCGAACGGGUGAGUAACACGCGAGUAACCUGCCCCUGACUUUGGGAUAACUUCAGGAAACUGGGGCUAAUACCGGAUAGGAGCUCCUGCUGCAUGGUGGGCGUUGGAAAGUUUCGGCGGUUGUGGAUGGACUCGCGGCUUAUCCGCUUGUUGGUGGGGUAGUGGCUUACCAAGGCUUUGACGGGUAGCCGGCCUGAGAGGGUGAACGGCCACAUUGGGACUGAGAUACGGCCCAGACGCCUACGGGAGGCAGCAGUGGGGAAUAUUGCACAGUGGGCGGAAGCCUGAUGCAGAGACGCCGCGUGCGGGAUGACGGCCUUCGGGUGGUAAACCGCUUUCGCCUGUGACGAAGCGUGAGUGACGGUAAUGGGUAAAGAAGCACCGGCUAACUACGUG
This 468-nucleotide ribosomal RNA is filed under the name uncultured bacterium. RNAcentral's name for it is "partial 16S ribosomal RNA". It matches the Rfam family "Bacterial small subunit ribosomal RNA", at positions 28 to 507 of the family's 1533-position model. The record is from RNAcentral.